GUCAUUGUGGCUCAAUGGGUGGUGCGUUGGACUUCUAAUCCAAAGGUCGUGGGUUCGAAUCCCACCUGGGAUGACC
Trichonephila clavata is the source of this 76-nucleotide non-coding RNA. Lineage: Eukaryota; Metazoa; Arthropoda; Arachnida; Araneae; Nephilidae. The record is from the annotation of a GenBank genome assembly.